AUGGGGAUGCUCAACCGGCUCCUGCCCGCGCGGAAGGAUCGCCGCCGCCGGAAAAUCCGACCCCGUCGUAUGUCGAUUGCUUCUCUGUCUGGCAAAAAGCGCUCGAUCUGUCAUCCCCAAUGUGGCAAAACAACGCGAUGUCCAGUGCCGGACCUUCCACAGGGCAUCUGGGAUGAUAUAUUGGCACUGCUGCCACUGCAAGACGCUGCCAGAGCUGGCUGUGUGUCUCACACAUUACUAAGCUCCUUGAGAUGCCGUCCCGACCUCACCUUCAGCAAUGAAACACUGGGCCUGGAUGGAAAUGUGUAUGGAAGCAAUAAACUUGCAAGGAUUUUGCUCAAGAGAGUUGACCGCAUCAUGAAAAAACACCCAGGCAUUGGAGUGAAGAAAUUUGAACUUCACUAUGGUGGUUCUUCCCUCAAAUCUAGUUAUCUCGACAUGUGGCUUCAAACUGCAGUUACUCCAGGGAUCGAAGAAGUCAUACUUUUGGUGCCGGAACAACCCAACGAAACGACUUCAGUACGCCCAUCUUACAUGGCAAAUUCCGCUGCCUCAAGAACUUAG
Molecule: ribosomal RNA, 564 nt
Filed under: Triticum aestivum (bread wheat)
Lineage: Eukaryota; Viridiplantae; Streptophyta; Magnoliopsida; Poales; Poaceae
Description: partial small subunit ribosomal RNA
Source: RNAcentral